Molecule: ribosomal RNA, 255 nt
Filed under: Listeria monocytogenes
Lineage: Bacteria; Bacillati; Bacillota; Bacilli; Caryophanales; Listeriaceae
Description: partial 23S ribosomal RNA
Rfam family: Bacterial large subunit ribosomal RNA
Source: RNAcentral
UAACCCGCCACGCUUAGCGCGUGGGGAGACAGUGUCAGGUGGGCAGUUUGACUGGGGCGGUCGCCUCCUAAAGAGUAACGGAGGCGCCCAAAGGUUCCCUCAGAAUGGAUGGAAAUCAUUCGCAGAGUGUAAAGGCACAAGGGAGCUUGACUGCGAGACUGACAAGUCGAGCAGGGACGAAAGUCGGGCUUAGUGAUCCGGUGGUUCCGCAUGGAAGGGCCAUCGCUCAACGGAUAAAAGCUACCCCGGGGAUAA